AGUCCCGCCGAGAGCCGCACUGAAGAGCCCCAGCCUGGCCGUCCCGCGGUUUCCCGCCGCCUCACCAGUCUCGGGCGGGAGGGGCCCCGGCGCUGGCGUGGCCGCGGCUCCCACAACGCAGCCAGGACUGCACUCGGGGCUGCUGGGGCCCGCGUGCGUCCCGGGCGGCUCCACGCGUCGGGGUCGCCCCCGCGCCUCCCACCCCCGGCCUCUCGGGGCCGCCGGCUCGCGCGCCUUCCAGGCGAAGGCCAGAGGCCGCAGUGAGGGGCACCGAGUGGCGGGCUCCUCCGCACCACCCCCGGGCUUUAUAAUAAAAGUCGCCGUUGUUUAAGAGCCAGGUCGGAGGCGCCGCUUUCUGGGCGGUGAAAGCCGAAGCGAGAGCGGGCAAUUCGCUGCGGCGGCGGCCGCUUCCUGGGCGUCGGUCCAGUGCCCCGGCCCGGCCUGGGAGACCCGCACCAACCCCGGGAGGGAGGACGGGGCGCGGGCGCAGCCUAGGGGCCGAAGCACUGCACGCACGGCCGGCGCGGGGGCAGAGGGGAGACAGGGAAGCCUGAGCUCCGCGCUGCUGAAGGCUCCGGGGAUGGGUGGGCGGCGGUGAGGUAGUCUUGCCCGGGCCCUGCCCGCGUGGGCGCUUUCUGAGUCUCUGUCGCGUGACGGAGGCGGGACCUAGGCUGUGUCUCCUGCGGGGCGAAAGCACGGAAGAGAUCCGAGGGCAUUUCUUGAGCCUGGCAGGAGGCCAGGGGUUUUACAGGGCAGGAAGGAACCUGGAGGAACCGAGGAGCCACGUUGUUGGUUGGAAAGAAGGGUGGCCAGGUGGGGAGGAGUCUGGCAAAGGGUCCCAGACAGCAGGAAGGGCACCUGUGAAGCCGCCCUGCCGAGUGUGUGGUAGAGGCGGGGUGAAAUGAGCACUGCUCAUAAAAGUGACUGUUGUGAUUUUUUAUGAGAUGGAGUCUCGCUCUGUCGCCCAGGCUGGAGUGCAGGGGAGCAACCUCGGCUCACUGCAACCUCCGCCUCCCGGGUUCACGCCAUUCUCCUGCCUCGGCCUCCCCAGUAGCUAAGAUUACAAGGCGCCCGCCACCACGCCCGGCUAAUUUUUUUGUAGUUUUAGUAGAGACGGGGUUUUGCCAUGUUGGCCAGGCUGGUCUCAAACUCCUGAGCUCAAGUGAUCCGCCCCUCUCGGCCUCCCAAAGUGCUGGGAUUACAUGCGUGAGCCCCCAGCCUAAAAGUGACUGUUUACUACAAUAAGUACAAAUAAUAGGUGACCAGCACUUGUCUGCUGAGGCCCUGGGGCUGGGUGUGUUUAGGGGACCCCUCUCCUCUCCAGGCCCUCCCCAAGCCUGCCCACUGAUGGGGAAGCUGCAGGGCUAUCCCUCCAAGGGGAGGCCCUGCCAGGCCAGGGAAGGUCCAAGUGGGUGCUCACCAAGCUUCCUAGGUUCCCAGUUUUCUUGAAACCAUCUUCCCAGCACAGUCAUCUCCCGUGGUUGCCUUUAGCAAGUCACAUCCCCUGACUCUUUAACAUCUCGGUCCUGGCAGUUUCUUGGUAUGGCACCAUCUCCCUAUGUGGACCACAGGUUAUCUAUCACACUGACCCGCUGUCCCUCACACACAGUCACUCACCUGUGACACUUGGAAAGGACUAGCUCCACAGGCCUGGCCAGGGCCCAAAGGGAGGUGGCCAGCAAUCGAAAUCAACCCUGAUGACUAAGUAGAAAAGGAGUCCUUGGGAGUAUUGUGGGGAGCUCAGGGAGCUGACCAGGAGUCUGGAUGGCCACAGCCACAGCCGGGGACAGUCUUGGGAGGUGACUGUGGUCACCACCACUACUGGGCUGCAGCAUCGCUGAAUGCAGCCCCUGCCACAACUCCACAGGCAUUGGCUGUAAUGAUGGGCGGGGGUGCUGGGCACCACAGCGGGGAGGGAGGGCUCCUGUCCCUGCAUCUUUGCCUGGGUUAGCCAGAUGCCCAGGAAGGGAGAAGGAAUGCUGCCCCCUUUAGCCUUUGAGGUGGGAGGAGGGGCCCUGGCUCCCAUGACAGCUCACAAAAUGGGGAUUGCCCCUUACUAGGAGCGGUGUGCGGAUGCUGAUCAGCCCACCGAAUGCUCACCACUGAGGGGCUGCAGCGGCCAGGUGUGAGGGGAAGAGACUGCAGAGAGGUGACAAGGCCGUCAAAGGAGAGGAGCCACCACUGGGGAGCCUGGUGGCUCAGGAAGGCAGCUGGUGUGGGUGUGGGAGAGUCGGAUCAGAAGGCCAGCACUGCUCAUCAUGGAGCACCUGGGAGAGCAGCAGCGACUCAGCUCCUGGCACCAGGUGAGGCAGGAAAAUAGGGUCUGGAGGCAGGGAACAUAAGGCUCAUUCACACUUCAGCUAUAACCGGAAAUAUCCUCUCCAUAGGGCAUAUCAGGUAAAUGACUUUGUAACUUUACUUCAUCCUCUCUGUUUAUAUAGGGCAUACCCGAAGUAACCAAUGAAUCCUCUAGGGGGUAUUUAAACUCCCCCAAAUUCUGUAACAGGGCCUUUUGAAUCCUACACUCAGGCCCAUUCCCACACAGUGGAGUGUACUUUCAUUUUCAAUAAAAUCUUCAUUCCUUCCUUGCUUUGUUUGUGUGUCUCUUCCAAUUCUUUGUUCAAGAUGCCAAGAACCUGGACACUCUCCACCUUUAACACAGGGGUUGUUUAAUUUACCUUUUGCCUUAGAAAUAUAAAAAGAUACACAGUAAAGGUGUGUAAAAGGAAAGGCCUCUUUCACCCUUACCCCACCCCCAUCCCUCCCUAAAGGUCCCUGUGAUUAGCUUGGUGUGUGUCCAGCCCUCCCUCUGCAUUUCACACGGAUAUGCGAACAGUGGAUCAGGCUUGGGUUUGUUUCUUCCAAUAAACGGCAUCAUGCGGUAUGUAUUGUUCUUUAAUGUGCUUUUGGAGACGUUUCCAAUCCAGCAAACCCUUUUAUCCAUUUCAUAAUAUUCCGUAGAAUGCAUGCUCCCCAUCUUGAGGGAAGUUUGGGUUGUUUCAUUCUGCUUUGUUAGGACGAAUGCCUGCUUUUGUGCACACAGUUGAGUAUGGG
RNAcentral lists this long non-coding RNA (3054 nucleotides) under Homo sapiens (human). RNAcentral's name for it is "non-protein coding lnc-H3F3A-2:2". Lineage: Eukaryota; Metazoa; Chordata; Mammalia; Primates; Hominidae. The record is from RNAcentral.